ACGCUCGACACCUACGGGAGCAGCAGUUGGGAAUAUUGGACAAUGGAGGAAACUCUGAUCCAGUGACGCCGCGUGAAGGAAGAAGGUCUUCGGAUUGUAAACUUAUUUUGUCAGGGAAGAAAAAUGACUGUACCUGAAGAAAAAGCACCGGCUAACUACGUGCCAGCAGCGCGGUAAUCUGAGGCGGGCUGGCAAGGC
This 198-nucleotide ribosomal RNA is filed under the name uncultured bacterium. RNAcentral's name for it is "partial 16S ribosomal RNA". It matches the Rfam family "Bacterial small subunit ribosomal RNA", at positions 328 to 539 of the family's 1533-position model. The record is from RNAcentral.